This is a long non-coding RNA of Oncorhynchus tshawytscha (Chinook salmon), 1107 nucleotides long. Lineage: Eukaryota; Metazoa; Chordata; Actinopteri; Salmoniformes; Salmonidae. The record is from Ensembl.
CUGGGAUCCUGGGUGCCUCACCGGAUGGUCUGGGAUCCUGGGUGCCCCUCACCAGAUGGUCUGGGAUCCUGGGUGCCUCACCGGAUGGUCUGGGAUCCUGGGUGCCCCUCACCAAACGGUCUGGGAUCCUGGGUGCCUCACCGGAUGGUCUGGUGGUGGAGGUCAAGUGUUCCUAUGGUGCCUAAAAGGGACCUGACCAUUGAAGAGGAGGUCGAAUGAUUUCUAUAUCCAAGCGGAGGGAAGGUCUUACUGCCUCUGUGACGACCAUCCUUCCUGGCACCAGGUCCAAGUCCAAGGUCAGUUCCACAUCACCGGAAGGGACACCUGCUUCUUCGUUAUCGUGGACCACCACAGCCUCCCGUCCAGCGUGACGACCUCUGGCACACUCAUAUUGCUGGACUAGAGAAGUGUUUCAAGGACCACAUGCUCCCAAAGGCAGCACUGCAACAGUGAACUGUAGAUUUAUUGUAAAUAGGUUUUACAACAGUGAACUGUAGAUUUAUUGUAAAUAGGUUUUACAACAGUGAACUGUAGAUUUAUUGUAAAUAGGUCUUACAACAGUGAACUGUAGAUUUAUUGUAAAUAGGUCUUACAACAGUGAACUGUAGAUUUAUUGUAAAUAGGUCUUACAACAGUGAACUGUAGAUUUAUUGUAAAUAGGUUUUACAACAGUGAACUGUAGAUUUAUUGUAAAUAGGUUUUACAACAGUGAACUGUAGAUUUAUUGUAAAUGGUUUUACAACAGUGAACUGUAGAUUUAUUGUAAAUAGGUUUUACAACAGUGAACUGUAGAUUUAUUGUAAAUAGGUUUUACAACAGUGAACUGUAGAUUUAUUGUAAAUGGUUUUUAAACACUGUCACUGGAUCAUCAUUCUCGUCACGGGCCUCGUCCUCCUGUCAGUACCUGCUUUCAGGGAAGACGAUGGUCCAAAAAUAUUCCACAUAGUUCAUACACACACACGAGACUCCCAGAAUAAUGUAUAUUACACACACUAGACUCCCAGAAUAAUGUAUAUUACACACACUAGACUCCCAGAAUAAUGUAUAUUACACACACUAGACUCCCAGAAUAAUGUAUAUUACACACAUGAGACUCCCAGAAUAAUG